RNAcentral lists this ribosomal RNA (253 nucleotides) under uncultured bacterium. Its description in RNAcentral is "partial 16S ribosomal RNA". It matches the Rfam family "Bacterial small subunit ribosomal RNA", at positions 524 to 776 of the family's 1533-position model. The record is from RNAcentral.
UACGUAGGGUGCAAGCGUUAAUCGGAAUUACUGGGCGUAAAGCGUACGCAGGCGGUUUUGUAAGUCUGUCGUGAAAGCCCCGGGCUCAACCUGGGAAUUGCGAUGGAGACUGCAAGGCUUGAAUCUGGCAGAGGGGGGUAGAAUUCCACGUGUAGCAGUGAAAUGCGUAGAGAUGUGGAGGAACACCGAUGGCGAAGGCAGCCCCCUGGGUCAAGAUUGACGCUCAUGCACGAAAGCGUGGGGAGCAAACAGG